Molecule: long non-coding RNA, 1513 nt
Filed under: Vulpes vulpes (red fox)
Lineage: Eukaryota; Metazoa; Chordata; Mammalia; Carnivora; Canidae
Description: lncRNA (ENSVVUG00000005069.1)
Source: RNAcentral
AUGCAGAUUAUAAGGCUCUGCCCCAAGAGAUUCUCACACAGAGGGUCUGGGGUGAAACCUAAGGAUCUGCUGUAUCAACAGGCACCAGGUGAUUUGGAGGCAACGGGUUCAUAUUCAGGCCAUGCUGACUGUCCAGCCUGGGAGCUCCUGGAAGACUGGCAGGCCAGAUAUCUUCACCUCCAUGGUGUCCACACACUGGUAGAAAUAGCAUGGGGUAAGAUGAGAAGUUAUUUGUGUAAUUACAGCCACAAUAAGGGAGAGAGAGAGCAUCUGCAAUGAAGAUAGAUCACUCAGAGACUUCAUCUAUCCAGCAUGGAAUAAGGGGAAGGGAGGGGUCCUAAAGUGAGUUUAGAAACUGUUGUAUGGUCCAAAUCAGCUCCUAAGAAUGCUUUCAGCUGCAAGAAACAGAAGCCCAACUCAAAUUGGCUUAAACAAAAAGGACAUGUAUGAAUUAUGUGGAAUAGAUUUUCAUUGAAUGAAAAUCUAGAGGAGUUCAGAUUCAGGUAUGGUUUGAUCAAGCUUUUUGCUUCAUUUUUCUGUGAUUGUCACAAGUCUUCAUUCCUCUAUUGAUGAAUUUGCUUCCCCAGGCUAAUUCGUCUGAAAGUCUUUGGGUGGCUACAGUUGGCCAUCAGAAUUACCUUGCUUUCUUGUUCACAGAGAAGAAAGGAAGAUAACAAGUGAGGAGGCACUCGUUCCUUUUAGAGCAGACCUGCUAACAGGCAAAUUCCUGACUUAGCCUGUUGAUAAUUUCAUUUCCCAGAGGGUCAGAAGGUCACUUGGUAUACCUCAUAAAAGAAAACAACAAUUUCCUCUGAAGACUCUAAGCAAAUAUUUUUAUCUAUGUUGGCUGCAAUGAGCCUAGACAUCUCUAUUCUGAAGUCCAUUACUGAGGAAGGUUGAUAGGAUUGACUCAAAAUAAUCAGCCAGAGUGAAAGAAUUGAUAGUAUUUGUGAUGCAUUUCUGUGUAACAAACAACCACCGAGUCUCAACAAUAAGCAUUUAUUUAGCUCCUGUGUCUGCGUGUGGACUGUGGCUGUCUGAUGUAGGACUGGCCCAGCUAUUAUAACUUGGCUGGGUUUGCCUUGCUUCUCUGGUCCAUGUAGCUUCUCCUGGGAUUACAGGCAGGUUCUUCUCAUGAUGAUGGUACAAGUGAAAGAUGACACGUGGAAGCAUGCAAAGCCUCUUAAGGCUUAGGUCUAGAAGUGAUGCACCAUCACUUCUGUCUCAUUUUAUUGGCCAAAGCAAACCACGUUAAUUCAAAAGGAGAAGAAAUAUACUCUGUCUGGUUAGUGGAGGAACUUCAAAAUCAUAUGGCGGGUACUGUGGGCACAGCUAAGGGUAGGGUGAGGUGAGUGAGCACUGUCUUCCAAGUUUAAGGUGGAGGUGCCAAGAUAUUUAAUCAAGAUAAAUAUUUUAAUGAAAUAUUUUAAAAAAUCAAAAUCAAUGCAAAAAAAAACCAUCCUAAGCAUAGUGCCAAAUUUUUAAAUAAAGACAGCAUCAGUAUAGGGAAGCA